AGUCGAGUCGUCAUGAUA
Molecule: microRNA, 18 nt
Filed under: Zea mays
Lineage: Eukaryota; Viridiplantae; Streptophyta; Magnoliopsida; Poales; Poaceae
Description: microRNA miR-3017
Source: RNAcentral